Molecule: ribosomal RNA, 253 nt
Filed under: uncultured bacterium
Lineage: Bacteria
Description: partial 16S ribosomal RNA
Rfam family: Bacterial small subunit ribosomal RNA
Source: RNAcentral
UACGAAGGGGGCUAGCGUUGUUCGGAAUUACUGGGCGUAAAGCGCACGUAGGCGGAUAUUUAAGUCAGGGGUGAAAUCCCAGAGCUCAACUCUGGAACUGCCUUUGAUACUGGGUAUCUUGAGUAUGGAAGAGGUAAGUGGAAUUGCGAGUGUAGAGGUGAAAUUCGUAGAUAUUCGCAGGAACACCAGUGGCGAAGGCGGCUUACUGGUCCAUUACUGACGCUGAGGUGCGAAAGCGUGUGGAGCAAACAGG